RNAcentral lists this ribosomal RNA (1347 nucleotides) under metagenome. Its description in RNAcentral is "bacterial LSU rRNA". It matches the Rfam family "Bacterial large subunit ribosomal RNA", at positions 1564 to 2925 of the family's 2925-position model. The record is from RNAcentral.
UGAGUGCGAGCUUCUACGGAAGCGAAGUUGGUGACGUCAAGCUUCCAAGAAAAGCCCUAUACCCGUUAAGGCAUGAUUACCUGUACCCGAAACCGACACAGGUGGGGUGGUAGAGAAUACCGAGGGGCGCGAGGUAACUCUCUCUAAGGAACUCGGCAAAAUGACCCCGUAACUUCGGGAGAAGGGGUGCCAGCGCGAGCUGGUCGCAGUGAAUAGGCCCAGGCGACUGUUUACCAAAAACACAGGUCUCCGCUAAGUCGCAAGACGAUGUAUGGGGGCUGACGCCUGCCCAGUGCCGGAAGGUUAAAGAAGUUGGUCAGCGCAAGCGAAGCUAACGACUGAAGCCCCGGUGAACGGCGGCCGUAACAAUAACGGUCCUAAGGUAGCGAAAUUCCUUGUCGGGUAAGUUCCGACCCGCACGAAAGGCGUAACGAUCUGGGCGCUGUCUCGGAGAGAGGCUCGGCGAAAUAGAAUUGUCUGUGAAGAUGCGGACUACGUGCACCCGGACAGAAAGACCCUAUGAAGCUUUACUGUAGCUUGGUAUUGUGCUCGGGCUCGCAAUGCGCAGGAUAGGUGGGAGGCUUUGAUCCAUUGCUUGUGGGUGAUGGUGAGCCACUGGUGAGAUACCACUCUUUGCGAGCUAGGGUUCUAACGGUUACCUGUCAUCCGGGAACCGGACAGUAUCUGGUGGGCAGUUUGACUGGGGCGGUCGCCUCCUAAAAGGUAACGGAGGCGCGCAAAGGUUUGCUCAGGCUGGUUGGAAAUCAGCCGACGAGUGUAAAAGCAGAAGCAAGCUUGACUGUGAGACCUACAAGUCGAACAGGGAGGAAACUCGGCUUUAGUGAUCCGACGGUUCUGAGUGGAAGGGCCGUCGCUCAACGGAUAAAAGUUACUCUAAGGAUAACAGGCUGAUCUCCCCAAGAGUUCACAUCGACGGGGAGGUUUGGCACCUCGAUGUCGGCUCAUCGCAACCUGGGGCUGAAGUCGGUCCCAAGGGUUGGGCUGUUCGCCCAUUAAAGCGGUACGCGAGCUGGGUUCAGAACGUCGUGAGACAGUUCGGUCCAUAUCCGGUGCAUGCGCAGGAAUAUCAGAGGAUUUCUCCCUAGUACGAGAGGACCGGGAGGAACGCACCUCUGGUGUACCAGUUAUCGUGCCAACGGUAAACGCUGGGUAGCCAUGUGCGGAGUGGAUAACCGCUGAAAGCAUCUAAGUGGGAAGCCCACCUCAAGAUGAGUAUUCCCAUGGCUUAAGCCAGUAAGGUCACGGGAAGAACACCCGUUGAUAGGCUCUAUGUGGAAGCGCAGUAAUGCGUGAAGCAGAGGAGUACUAAUAGACCGAGGGCUUGAC